This 224-nucleotide long non-coding RNA is filed under the name Elaeis guineensis (African oil palm). Its description in RNAcentral is "long non-coding RNA (EGUI_LNC004912)". The record is from RNAcentral. Lineage: Eukaryota; Viridiplantae; Streptophyta; Magnoliopsida; Arecales; Arecaceae.
CAAAAACUAGAAAAAAUAAAAUAAAAUAACAAAUAACACAAAAAAAUUCGCACCAGAAAGUUUUUUCCCCUCCUUUGUAUUUUCUCCCUUUUAUGGUGGCAUCUAGAAGUCACACAGCAAUAUACCAAAAAAAAUACACAGUAACAUUUUUUAUAGACUCUUUCACUGACAAAUUGUAGUGUCAGGUAUUGGUCACAGUGAAAAAGUUUUUGAUACAUAACGCA